GAUCCUGGCUCAGGACGAACGCUGGCGGCGCGCCUAACACAUGCAAGUCGAACGGAGAGUUACAGGCGGAAGUUUUCGGAUGGAAGCUUGUAAACUUAGUGGCGGACGGGUGAGUAACACGUGAGCAACCUGCCUAUCAGAGGGGGAUAACGAUUGGAAACGAUCGCUAAUACCGCAUGACAUAGCGGAACCGCAUGGUUUUGUUAUCAAAGAUUUUAUCGCUGAUAGAUGGGCCCGCGUCCGA
This 244-nucleotide ribosomal RNA is filed under the name uncultured bacterium. Its description in RNAcentral is "partial 16S ribosomal RNA". It matches the Rfam family "Bacterial small subunit ribosomal RNA", at positions 15 to 240 of the family's 1533-position model. The record is from RNAcentral.